RNAcentral lists this non-coding RNA (48 nucleotides) under Trichobilharzia regenti. The record is from RNAcentral. Lineage: Eukaryota; Metazoa; Platyhelminthes; Trematoda; Strigeidida; Schistosomatidae.
AUUCGGCUGACGAGUCUCAAGUAGGACGAAAUGCGCAUCCUUGUGGAU